This is a non-coding RNA of Paramuricea clavata, 251 nucleotides long. The record is from the annotation of a GenBank genome assembly. NCBI's taxonomy places the organism in Eukaryota, Metazoa, Cnidaria, Anthozoa, Malacalcyonacea, Plexauridae.
CCUGUAGUUAAUGACCGGUCCCUAAGUUUUCUACUCACAUUGGUCGUUCAGACAUGCACCUCCCGCCGUGGGAGCGGCAGAUCAAAGUCAUAAUCAGGAGAUUAUGGUAUUGUGUCAAUGUUUCUGACGAAGUUCUUAUUAUAUUACCAAUAUAUAUUUAAUAACAUUAGAAGAUAUCAGGGUCGUAGACAAACAGUAGAAUCGUUGUAACUGUACUACUCUAUAAUUACUGUACUACUAAGGGUAAUUAG